GCUUCGGUAGCUCAGCCUGGUAGAGCGUUACCUUGGUAAGGUAAAGGUCGCGGGUCCGGAUCCCGUCCGAAGCUCUA
Molecule: transfer RNA, 77 nt
Filed under: Nitrosopumilaceae archaeon
Lineage: Archaea; Thermoproteati; Nitrososphaerota; Nitrososphaeria; Nitrosopumilales; Nitrosopumilaceae
Description: tRNA-Thr
Rfam family: tRNA
About the family: Transfer RNA (tRNA) molecules are approximately 80 nucleotides in length. Their secondary structure includes four short double-helical elements and three loops (D, anti-codon, and T loops).
Source: RNAcentral